RNAcentral lists this long non-coding RNA (927 nucleotides) under Salmo salar (Atlantic salmon). Its description in RNAcentral is "lncRNA (ENSSSAG00000105019.1)". The record is from RNAcentral. Lineage: Eukaryota; Metazoa; Chordata; Actinopteri; Salmoniformes; Salmonidae.
ACAUUCAAGUCUUGAGUUUAUUCAAGUAAAAUAAGAAAAGGACAAAACAACAUCAAGGUGUAUCUGUUAGAAAUCAUCAAUGACAUCACAUCAACUCACAAGUAUCACAGUAGGAUAGAAAUUAACACUUGGUAGAAUAUAUAACUUAAACAUCCAUGGUGGAGACAUUAACACUUGGUAGAAUAUAUAACUUAAACAUCCAUGGUGGAGACAUUAACACUUGGUAGACUAUAUAACUUAAACAUCCAUGGUGGAGACAUUAACACUUGGUAGACUAUAUAACUUAAACAUCCAUGGUGGUGACAUUAACACUUGGUAGACUAUAUAACUUAAACAUCCAUGGUGGUGACAUUAACACUUGGUAGACUAUAUAACUUAAACAUCCAUGGUGGAGACAUUAACACUUGGUAGACUAUAUAACUUAAACAUCCAUGGUGGUGACAUUAACACUUGGUAGAAUAUAUAACUUAAACAUCCAUGGUGGAGACAUUAACACUUGGUAGACUAUAUAACUUAAACAUCCAUGGUGGAGACAUUAACACUUGGUAGACUAUAUAACUUAAACAUCCAUGGUGGAGACAUUAACACUUGGUAGACUAUAUAACUUAAACAUCCAUGGUGGUGACAUUAACACUUGGUAGACUAUAUAACUUAAACAUCCCUGGUGGAGACAUUAACUUUUUCAUAAUGUUUCCAAAUUGAUUGUUUUUUCUAGAAGCAUCUACCAGCUUGUUGUUGUUGUCAUGAUUGUUCCUGUUGGGUAGCAACUUCACCAGCUUGUUGUUGUUGUCAUGGCUGUUCCUGUUGGGUAGCAACUUCACCAGCUUCUUGUUGUUGUUGUCAUGGCUGUUCCUGUUGGGUAGCAACUUCACCAGCUUGUUGUUGUUGUCAUGGCUGUUCCUGUUGGGUAGCAACUUCACCAGCUUG